RNAcentral lists this transfer RNA (79 nucleotides) under Candidatus Omnitrophota bacterium. RNAcentral's name for it is "tRNA-Pro". It matches the Rfam family "tRNA". From Rfam's summary of the family: Transfer RNA (tRNA) molecules are approximately 80 nucleotides in length. Their secondary structure includes four short double-helical elements and three loops (D, anti-codon, and T loops). Lineage: Bacteria; Pseudomonadati; Candidatus Omnitrophota. The record is from RNAcentral.
CGGGGCGUAGCGUAGCUUGGCUUAGCGCGCCUGCUUUGGGAGCAGGAGGUCCUGGGUUCGAAUCCCAGCGCCCCGACCA